ACUUCUUGGUUUUCUCUUCUCUCAGAUGAGGUAGCUUGGCAUGAAAGAAGAAGAGUAUGGGUUGGUGAUAUAUCACAAAGAUCAUAGAGUUUAAAAAGCAUAAGUAGCAGAGAGAAGAUCCUGAGGUUAGAGCCUUCAUGUAGAUGCUCGCGAGUUAUCACGGAUUCUAUAUCUGAGAGGCGGGAUCCUGAUGGAUUCACUUGGAAGGCAGUGUCCAAGGAGGAGAAAGCAGAUGGAAUAGAUGAAGAGCCAACUUGCUACGGUG
Molecule: long non-coding RNA, 265 nt
Organism: Daucus carota subsp. sativus
Lineage: Eukaryota; Viridiplantae; Streptophyta; Magnoliopsida; Apiales; Apiaceae
Exons: 3
Source: RefSeq, a predicted model, not a curated record